ACGCGAACCGCUGCUAACCUUGU
This 23-nucleotide microRNA is filed under the name Euprymna scolopes. Its description in RNAcentral is "Esc-Novel-61_5p (mature (guide))". Lineage: Eukaryota; Metazoa; Mollusca; Cephalopoda; Sepiida; Sepiolidae. The record is from RNAcentral.